CUUGAGGAAGCACUUUGUCCACGUGGACACAAAGUGCUCCCUCAAGGAAGCGUUUUCUGUCCACAUGGACAAAGAGCUUCCUUGAGG
Non-coding RNA from Gossypium raimondii (Peruvian cotton), 87 nucleotides. NCBI's taxonomy places the organism in Eukaryota, Viridiplantae, Streptophyta, Magnoliopsida, Malvales, Malvaceae. The record is from Rfam.